AAGUAGCUUCUACAUUCUUAAAACUAUAACUGACGGGAAUUUCUUCCAACUUUGCUCAAAUGUCCACUUGAACUCAAGGAUGAACUGGUAGUCAAAGCUCACCUUUUCCUCACAAAACACAUUUUCAGCCACAAGUACAGAAUAUAUAUGUGAAUUGUGACAAUUUCACACAAAUGUCUCAAAGGAUGUAAACUGCAACGGGUAUAUUUUAGUUUUCUAAAUGCUGUUGUGUUGAAUUGACUUUCUGCUGUGCAAGUGGUAGAAUUUGUAUUCCAUGUCCAAGCCAAGCCAAGUCCACAACUUUGACUUGGCUUGUGUGUGUUUGCCAUUGAAAAUAAGUAGUAUUCAUGGUGCUCGCUGAUGCUGCAAGUCAAAAGGAUUUAACAUCUGUCGGUCCAGGUGUUUCUGCUGGGACGGGAACUCUGUGCUGUGUGGGGGACAGUCUGGAGACCUCCUGCUGUGGGACCUGCUCAGCAAUACAGUCACCCGAAGGAUCCCUGCGCAUUCGGGCACUGUCACAGCCAUGUGGAUGAGUGAGCUGUGCUCCACAGUGAUCACAGGCGGAGAGGACAGACAGAUAAUCCUCUGGAAGCUCCAGAGUUAGAGGACCGUUUAUGCACAUCACAUGUGUUGGGGAGACUCCCAGUGCAACAUACUGGACAGUACUGGCCAAGACUCAUUAAACAGUUGCAAGGAGCCCACUCUGUAAAUGUACAGUAUUACAGAGCAGUCGGAGGGAGAUGACGAUUUAAAAAAUGUUUGAAAUCCAGACAAAAGGUCACAUACAGUCAUGUUAGUUCGUAGCUGUCUGCAUAUUGAGAGAAAAUGUCCAAUUGCAGUUUUGUGCGUGAGAGCAGGAAGCUAAAACCGUGUACACGCCUUAUUUUUUCAGCUUAUUCUACAUACGUGUGGAUUUCUUUUCAAAUGUAUUUGUUGUGCAUCAUUUUAGUUUUUUUUAAAUUAUGUUUCUAUAGCUUUAUGUGCAUUUUAUUUUUUGAAGUGGACUUAAAAUAUCUGUCACAAGCUUCAGGCUGCUCUGGUGUUGUAAUUUAAAUAACACUGAUCUUUAAAAGUAUUGUUUCCUGUCUCCUGUUUGUUACUAUUUCUUUGGCCUCACAGAUUUCUAGAGAACUUGUUAUUCUGAGCUUUGCAGGUUGCAACCAGUAUCGUAUUGUCCACAAAAACAUAAACCAUUUUUAUGUCACAA
This is a long non-coding RNA of Anarrhichthys ocellatus (wolf-eel), 1207 nucleotides long. RefSeq lists it as uncharacterized. NCBI's taxonomy places the organism in Eukaryota, Metazoa, Chordata, Actinopteri, Perciformes, Anarhichadidae. The record is from RefSeq and is a predicted model, not a curated record. The transcript has 2 exons.